This 433-nucleotide ribosomal RNA is filed under the name Ctenophora environmental sample. RNAcentral's name for it is "partial Eukaryotic large subunit ribosomal RNA". It matches the Rfam family "Eukaryotic large subunit ribosomal RNA", at positions 2397 to 2833 of the family's 3401-position model. Lineage: Eukaryota; Metazoa; Ctenophora. The record is from RNAcentral.
GCGGGGAAAGAAGACCCUGUUGAGCUUGACUCUAGUCCGACUUUGUGAAAUGACUUAGGAGGUGUAGGAUAGGUGGGAGCUUCGGCAAGCUUGAAAUACCACUACUUUUAAUGUCAUUUUACUUAUUCUCUGAUAUAGAACCCCCUGCUUGCAGAGGUUCUAGUACCAAGGACUUCUCUCGGAAGUCUGAUCUAUGGGGAAGACAUAGUCAGGUGGGGAGUUUGGCUGGGGCGGCACAUCUGUUAAAAGAUAACACAGGUGUCCUAGGGUAAGCUCAAAGAGAACAGAAAUCUCUUGUGGACCAAAAGGGGAAAAGCUUACUUGAUUUUGAUUUCCAGUACGAAUACAAACUGUGAAAGCAUGGCCUAUCGAUCCUUUAUCUUUCAAAGUUUGAAGCUAGAGGUGUCAGAAAAGUUACCACAGGGAUAACUGG